RNAcentral lists this long non-coding RNA (255 nucleotides) under Elaeis guineensis (African oil palm). RNAcentral describes it as "long non-coding RNA (EGUI_LNC060530)". The record is from RNAcentral. Lineage: Eukaryota; Viridiplantae; Streptophyta; Magnoliopsida; Arecales; Arecaceae.
AGGGUGUGCGCAAAAAUCUGAAUUUCAGAUUUUUGGUUCUAAGGGUUUGGGAAGAGAGAAUACAUUAGAAGAAAAUUAUUUUCUUCUGCAUCUUUCUUAUACCUCUUCAUCUCCUCCAGAAGUCCAUCUUCAAUCUCUAGAAAAAUUUUCAAGAUUUGAAGAAAAGAUCCAGAUCAGCCAAGAAGAAGAUCUUCACGUGAGCUAGCACUCUUGAAAAGACUGAUCAGAUCGGAGCUUCGAGUGAAUUUUGCAUAG